Molecule: ribosomal RNA, 1455 nt
Filed under: Lactiplantibacillus pentosus
Lineage: Bacteria; Bacillati; Bacillota; Bacilli; Lactobacillales; Lactobacillaceae
Description: bacterial SSU rRNA
Rfam family: Bacterial small subunit ribosomal RNA
Source: RNAcentral
UGCCUAAUACAUGCAAGUCGAACGAACUCUGGUAUUGAUUGGUGCUUGCAUCAUGAUUUACAUUUGAGUGAGUGGCGAACUGGUGAGUAACACGUGGGAAACCUGCCCAGAAGCGGGGGAUAACACCUGGAAACAGAUGCUAAUACCGCAUAACAACUUGGACCGCAUGGUCCGAGUUUGAAAGAUGGCUUCGGCUAUCACUUUUGGAUGGUCCCGCGGCGUAUUAGCUAGAUGGUGGGGUAACGGCUCACCAUGGCAAUGAUACGUAGCCGACCUGAGAGGGUAAUCGGCCACAUUGGGACUGAGACACGGCCCAAACUCCUACGGGAGGCAGCAGUAGGGAAUCUUCCACAAUGGACGAAAGUCUGAUGGAGCAACGCCGCGUGAGUGAAGAAGGGUUUCGGCUCGUAAAACUCUGUUGUUAAAGAAGAACAUAUCUGAGAGUAACUGUUCAGGUAUUGACGGUAUUUAACCAGAAAGCCACGGCUAACUACGUGCCAGCAGCCGCGGUAAUACGUAGGUGGCAAGCGUUGUCCGGAUUUAUUGGGCGUAAAGCGAGCGCAGGCGGUUUUUUAAGUCUGAUGUGAAAGCCUUCGGCUCAACCGAAGAAGUGCAUCGGAAACUGGGAAACUUGAGUGCAGAAGAGGACAGUGGAACUCCAUGUGUAGCGGUGAAAUGCGUAGAUAUAUGGAAGAACACCAGUGGCGAAGGCGGCUGUCUGGUCUGUAACUGACGCUGAGGCUCGAAAGUAUGGGUAGCAAACAGGAUUAGAUACCCUGGUAGUCCAUACCGUAAACGAUGAAUGCUAAGUGUUGGAGGGUUUCCGCCCUUCAGUGCUGCAGCUAACGCAUUAAGCAUUCCGCCUGGGGAGUACGGCCGCAAGGCUGAAACUCAAAGGAAUUGACGGGGGCCCGCACAAGCGGUGGAGCAUGUGGUUUAAUUCGAAGCUACGCGAAGAACCUUACCAGGUCUUGACAUACUAUGCAAAUCUAAGAGAUUAGACGUUCCCUUCGGGGACAUGGAUACAGGUGGUGCAUGGUUGUCGUCAGCUCGUGUCGUGAGAUGUUGGGUUAAGUCCCGCAACGAGCGCAACCCUUAUUAUCAGUUGCCAGCAUUAAGUUGGGCACUCUGGUGAGACUGCCGGUGACAAACCGGAGGAAGGUGGGGAUGACGUCAAAUCAUCAUGCCCCUUAUGACCUGGGCUACACACGUGCUACAAUGGAUGGUACAACGAGUUGCGAACUCGCGAGAGUAAGCUAAUCUCUUAAAGCCAUUCUCAGUUCGGAUUGUAGGCUGCAACUCGCCUACAUGAAGUCGGAAUCGCUAGUAAUCGCGGAUCAGCAUGCCGCGGUGAAUACGUUCCCGGGCCUUGUACACACCGCCCGUCACACCAUGAGAGUUUGUAACACCCAAAGUCGGUGGGGUAACCUUUUAGGAACCAGCCGCCUAAGGUGG